UACAGAGGGGGCAAGCGUUGUUCGGAAUUACUGGGCGUAAAGGGCGCGUAGGCGGCCUUCUAAGUCGAACGUGAAAUCCCUCGGCUUAACCGGGGAACUGCGUCUGAUACUGGAUGGCUAGAGAUUGGGAGAGGGAUGCGGAAUUCCAGGUGUAGCGGUGAAAUGCGUAGAUAUCUGGAGGAACACCGGUGGCGAAGGCGGCAUCCUGGACCAACACUGACGCUGAGGAGCGAAAGCCAGGGGAGCAAACGGG
RNAcentral lists this ribosomal RNA (253 nucleotides) under uncultured bacterium. RNAcentral's name for it is "partial 16S ribosomal RNA". It matches the Rfam family "Bacterial small subunit ribosomal RNA", at positions 524 to 776 of the family's 1533-position model. The record is from RNAcentral.